RNAcentral lists this ribosomal RNA (253 nucleotides) under uncultured bacterium. RNAcentral's name for it is "partial 16S ribosomal RNA". It matches the Rfam family "Bacterial small subunit ribosomal RNA", at positions 524 to 776 of the family's 1533-position model. The record is from RNAcentral.
UACGUAGGGGGCAAGCGUUGUCCGGAAUCAUUGGGCGUAAAGGGUGCGUAGGCGGCGCGGUAAGUCGGGUGUGAAAUCUUGGAGCUUAACUCCGAAACUGCAUUCGAUACUGCCGUGCUUGAGGACUGGAGAGGAGACUGGAAUUUACGGUGUAGCGGUGAAAUGCGCAGAUAUCAGGAAGAACACCCGUGGCGAAGGCGGCUCUCUGGUACGUGACUGACGCUGAGACGCGAAAGCGUGGGGAGCAAACAGG